GUUUGAUCCUGGCUCAGGACGAACGCUGGCGGCGUGCUUAACACAUGCAAGUCAAGGACCGUAGCAAUACGGAACUGGCGCACGGGUGCGGAACACGUAGGCAAUCUGCCCUUGAAGGGAGAACAACCAGUCGAAAGAUUGGCUAAGUCUCCGUAAAAUCAUAGAGUGGCAUCACUUAUUGAUCAAGUUUUUUCAAGGAUGAGCCUGCGUCUGAUUAGCUAGUUGGCGGGGUAACGGCCCACCAAGGCAACGAUCAGUAGCUGGUCUGAGAGGAUGAUCAGCCACAUUGGGACUGAGAUACGGCCCAGACUCCUACGGGAGGCAGCAGUGAGGAAUAUUGCUCAACGGGGGAAACCCUGAAGCAGCAACGCCGCGUAAAGGAUGAAGGCGCUUUGCGUUGUAAACUUUUGUAGUCGGGGACAAAUUGUGGGUUACUACCCACUUGAUGGUACCCGAAAAGUAAGGAUCGGCUAACUACGUGCCAGCAGCCGCGGUAAUACGUAGGAUCCGAGCGUUGUCCGGAUUUACUGGGUGUAAAGGGUGCGCAGGCGGACUGAUAAGUCAGUGGUGAAAUCUCGUCGCUUAACGACGAAACUGCCUUUGAUACUAUCAGUCUUGAAUCCGGUAGAGAUCUGUGGAAUUCCGAGUGUAGCAGUGAAAUGUGUAGAUAUUCGGAAGAACACCAGUGGCGAAGGCAGCAGAUUGGGCCGGUAUUGACGCUCAGGCACGAAAGCAUGGGGAUCAAACAGGAUUAGAGACCCUGGUAGUCCAUGCCCUAAACGAUGUUCACUUGAUGUCUGCCCUCAGGGUAGGUGUCGAAGCUAACGC
Molecule: ribosomal RNA, 828 nt
Filed under: uncultured bacterium
Lineage: Bacteria
Description: bacterial SSU rRNA
Rfam family: Bacterial small subunit ribosomal RNA
Source: RNAcentral